This 699-nucleotide ribosomal RNA is filed under the name Spiroplasma sp. 5061. RNAcentral describes it as "bacterial SSU rRNA". It matches the Rfam family "Bacterial small subunit ribosomal RNA", at positions 153 to 847 of the family's 1533-position model. The record is from RNAcentral. Lineage: Bacteria; Bacillati; Mycoplasmatota; Mollicutes; Entomoplasmatales; Spiroplasmataceae.
GGAACGACUGCUAUACCGCAUACGACAUUUUCUGGCAUCAGAGGAUUGUUAAAAGGUCCGUUUGGAUCACUAAUGGAUGAGGGUGCGGCGUAUUAGCUAGUUGGUGGGGUAAUGGCCUACCAAGGCAAUGAUACGUAGCCGAACUGAGAGGUUGAUCGGCCACAUCGGGACUGAGACACGGCCCGAACUCCUACGGGAGGCAGCAGUAGGGAAUUUUUCACAAUGGGCGAAAGCCUGAUGGAGCAAUGCCGCGUGACUGAAGACGGUCUUCGGAUUGUAAAGGUCUGUUGUAAGGGAAGAACAGUAAGUAUAGGAAAUGAUACUUAUUUGACGGUACCUUACCAGAAAGCCACGGCUAACUAUGUGCCAGCAGCCGCGGUAAUACAUAGGUGGCAAGCGUUAUCCGGAUUUAUUGGGCGUAAAGCGUGCGCAGACGGUUUAGCAAGUUUGGGGUUAAAACCUGGAGCUCAACUCCAGGUCGCCUUGAAAACUGUUAGGCUAGAGUGUAGGAGAGGUUGAUGGAAUUCCAUGUGUAGCGGUGAAAUGCGUAGAUAUAUGGAGGAACACCAGUGGCGAAGGCGAUCAACCGGCCUAUUACUGACGUUUAGGCACGAAAGCGUGGGGAGCAAAUAGGAUUAGAUACCCUAGUAGUCCACGCCGUAAACGAUGAGUACUAAGUGUCGGACUAAGUUCGGUGCU